GAAGAAGCCUAACUGGCAGUGAUUAGGUUUGGGCUGGGGAGUGAAUCCCCCCAAGGUUUUUGCUUAAAGUUCCAGGCUGUGGAGUAGGGGGGAGGGGGCAUUGCCCCAACACUUUUAAGCAGUGGACCUGCAUGACGUUAGGUACUAGGGUUGCCAGUAUUCCUGGAGGUUUCGUCAUAUGUCAUAAUGCUUAAUUAAAGAGUAUUCUUUAAUUCCUGGAGACUCCCGGACAAACCUGGAGGGUUGGCAACCCUAAUCAGUACAGCUGCUGCCAGAGCAGUCUGAAGGGUCGCUUCCACUGUAUGGUCACAACACUACUUAAAUUUGACCCAGCCACCUCUCCAUACAGAUUUUACCUCCUCCCAGAACUAUCUGAAGUGAUGUCACUGCUGUCUGUGGCCAGGAACUAACUAGAGACUGCUGCCUGCCAGAGCCCCCCCUGAAAGAAGGGGGAGAGCAUUUCUUCUCCAGAUCAAUCACAACACAAAAAGGGAAAAACAAAGCAGUUAACUGUACUUCAAGAAGAGGAAGGAGUACAGAGAUGAGGAAAAGAAAUGUGCACGGGGCUGGAAGGAGUGAUUUGUAAUGUAGGAUUCAGAGAGCUAAAUUAUUUCAGCCUGACCAUGGCAAAUACUUACCAGACAGAGACUGAAAAUGUUGCAUUGCAAAUGCAACCAGUAUUGACACAAGAAAGGUUCCCAUGAAAUAGAUCUGCAAUAAGUUUAGAAAUGUGUGUUAGAUCAAUACAAAGGUCGGGCGCUGGCUGUAACUGUGCUGAUAAAUGUGACAAUGGAAUAAUACAUACCAGAGUAAAAUGCAAAAUGUUAUUCCAGAAAACUCUUAAGUAAAAAUAAAGCAAAGCUAAUGAGCAUGGAUUAA
This is a long non-coding RNA of Dermochelys coriacea (leatherback sea turtle), 879 nucleotides long. RefSeq lists it as uncharacterized. The record is from RefSeq and is a predicted model, not a curated record. Lineage: Eukaryota; Metazoa; Chordata; Testudines; Dermochelyidae. The transcript has 4 exons.